This 468-nucleotide ribosomal RNA is filed under the name uncultured bacterium. RNAcentral's name for it is "partial 16S ribosomal RNA". It matches the Rfam family "Bacterial small subunit ribosomal RNA", at positions 28 to 507 of the family's 1533-position model. The record is from RNAcentral.
GACGAACGCUGGCGGCGUGCUUAACACAUGUAAGUCGAACGGAAAGGCCCUGCUUUUGUGGGGUGCUCGAGUGGCGAACGGGUGAGUAACACGUGAGUAACCUGCCCUUGACUUUGGGAUAACUUCAGGAAACUGGGGCUAAUACCGGAUAGGAGCUCCUGCUGCAUGGUGGGGGUUGGAAAGUUUCGGCGGUUGGGGAUGGACUCGCGGCUUAUCAGCUUGUUGGUGGGAUAGUGGCUUACCAAGGCUUUGACGGGUAGCCGGCCUGAGAGGGUGACCGGCCACAUUGGGACUGAGAUACGGCCCAGACUCCUACGGGAGGCAGCAGUGGGGAAUAUUGCACAAUGGGCGGAAGCCUGAUGCAGCAACGCCGCGUGCGGGAUGACGGCCUUCGGGUUGUAAACCGCUUUCGCCUGUGACGAAGCGUGAGUGACGGUAAUGGGUAAAGAAGCACCGGCUAACUACGUG